Molecule: transfer RNA, 69 nt
Filed under: Melanotaenia sp. 'LIGUDG Mel 1'
Lineage: Eukaryota; Metazoa; Chordata; Actinopteri; Atheriniformes; Melanotaeniidae
Description: tRNA-Pro
Source: RNAcentral
UCAAAAAAGAGGGAUUUUAACCCCCUCCCCUAACUCCCAAAGCUAGGAUCCUAAAUAGACUAUUCUUUG